This 71-nucleotide transfer RNA is filed under the name Fidelibacterota bacterium. Its description in RNAcentral is "tRNA-Gln". It matches the Rfam family "tRNA". Rfam says of the family: Transfer RNA (tRNA) molecules are approximately 80 nucleotides in length. Their secondary structure includes four short double-helical elements and three loops (D, anti-codon, and T loops). The record is from RNAcentral. Lineage: Bacteria; Pseudomonadati; Fidelibacterota.
UGGGGCGUCGUCUAACGGUAGGACACCUGGUUUUGGUCCAGGUAGUUGGGGUUCGAUUCCCUACGCCCCAG